UGGUUUGUGGCUCAGUGAUAGAGUGCUUGCCUAGCACACGCAUGAGGUUUGUGUUUGAUUCCCAGCAGAAGCAA
This 74-nucleotide transfer RNA is filed under the name Marmota monax (woodchuck). RNAcentral's name for it is "tRNA.Ala". Lineage: Eukaryota; Metazoa; Chordata; Mammalia; Rodentia; Sciuridae. The record is from RNAcentral.